GUUCUACUUCUGUGCCUAUAAAUACAUCCAGUGAGGAAGCAUUAGAAGAUAUGGUAAACUAGAAAGGAAAAGUAAUAAUGGAGAACAAGUUGAGCAAGAUCUUAAUCUUCGGCGGAACUGGUUAUAUAGGCAAGUUCUUGGUGAAGGCAAGCGUCUUGCUGGGCCAUAAAACUUAUGUCUAUGCUCGCCCUAUCACCUCACUAACUCCUCCCUCCAAGAUACACAUCCACAGGGACUUCCAGUCCAUGGGAGUCAACGUUGUUCAUGGGGAAUUGGACGAGCAUGACAAAAUUGUGGCACUACUUGGCCAAGUAGAUGUAGUGAUCUCUGCCCUAGCUUACCCUCAGGUUCUUGACCAACUCAAGAUCAUAGAUGCCAUUAAAGUUGCCGGUAAUAUUAAGAGGUUCUUCCCGUCAGAUUUCGGGAUUGAAGAGGAUAGGGUGACUCCCUUACCACCAUUUGAGGCUGUUCUUGAGAAGAAGAGAACAAUAAGAAGGGCAACAGAAGCAGCUGGGAUUCCUUUCACGUUUGUUUCUGCAAAUUGCUUUGGUUCUUACUUUAUCAAUUACUUGCUUCGACCACGUGAGCAAAGACAUAACGUUGAUGUCUAUGGUAGCGGUGAAGCUAAAGCUGUGCUAAACUACGAGGAAGACAUCGCAAUUUAUACCAUAAAAGCAGCAGAUGACCCAAGAACGCUUAAUCGAGUCGUAAUCUAUAGGCCAGAGAAGAACAUCAUAUCUCAGUUUGAACUAAUCUCUCUUUGGGAGAAGAAAACUGGUCAGUCUUUGAAUAAAGUUCAUAUCUCAGAGAAACACAUUGUGGAGCUGUCGAAGACUCUACCUCAUCCACGCAAUAUUCCAGUGGCUAUCCUUCACAGCUUGUUUGUAAAAGGCGACCUGAUGAGCUAUGAAUUGGAGAAGGAUGAUCUUGAGGUUUCAAAGCUCUAUCCAGACUUUGAAUACACCACUCUCGAUCGGCUUCUUGAUAUUUUUCUUGUUAACCCUCCAGAGCCUGCAUUUGCUGCCUUUGAAUGAGCUAAGUGUCAACUAGCAUGAUUAUUUCAAAUUAAUUGUAAUAUUCGACUCAAGUUCUUAAUAGCCUUGUAAUCUUAAAAAUAAUUUUACUAUUGUUGUCCCAAAAAUAGUCCAAG
This 1150-nucleotide unclassified non-coding RNA is filed under the name Hevea brasiliensis (rubber tree). Lineage: Eukaryota; Viridiplantae; Streptophyta; Magnoliopsida; Malpighiales; Euphorbiaceae. The record is from RNAcentral.